AUGGGCCGCUGCCCCACCCAGUGUUACCAUUAUUGUAAGAACAACACAAAGCCUCUCUUCUGGCGAGGUGUUGCUGAUGCCGAGAUUCCCAUCUUUGACCUGGGGUGGAAGAAGGUAAAAGUGGAUGAGUUUCCACUCUGUGGCCACAUGGUGUCAGAUGAAUAUGAGCAGCUCUCCUCUGAAGCCCUGGAGGCUGCCUGAAUUUGUGCCAAUAAGUACAUGAUGAAAAGUUGCGGCGAGGAUGGCUUUCAUAUCCAAGUGCGGCUCCACCCCUUCCACGUUAUGCACAUCAACAAGACGUCCUGUGCUGGGCUGACAGGCUCCAAACAGGUAUAUGAGGUGCCUUUGAAAAGCCCCAGGGCACUGUGGCCAGGGUUCACAUUGGUCACGUCAUCGUGUCCAUCGGCACCAAGCUGCAGAACAAGGAGCAUGUGAUUGAGGCCCUGCACAGGGCCAAGGCCAAGUUCCCUGGCCACCAGAAGAUCCACAUCUCAAAGAAGUGGGGCAUUACCAAGUUCAAUGUGAAGACAUGGUGGCUGAGAAACGGCUCAUUCCAGAUGACUGCGGGGUCAAGUACAUCCCCAGUCGUGGCCCUCUGGACAAGUGGUGGGCCCUGCACUCAUGA
RNAcentral lists this long non-coding RNA (625 nucleotides) under Homo sapiens (human). RNAcentral's name for it is "non-protein coding lnc-POPDC2-2:1". The record is from RNAcentral. Lineage: Eukaryota; Metazoa; Chordata; Mammalia; Primates; Hominidae.